AGGUUGGCUCAGAAGCAGCCAUCCUUUAAAGAGUGCGUAACAGCUCACUAGUCGAGUGACCCUGCGCCGAAAAUGUACCGGGGCUAAGCCUGAUACCGAAACUGCGGAUUGUAGGAAACUAUAGUGGUAGGGGAGCGUUGUAUACGAGUAGAAGCCGUACCGUGAGGAGCGGUGGAUUGUAUAGAAGUGAGAAUGCCGGUGUGAGUAGCGAGAUGUAGGUGAGAAUCCUACACACCGAAAGCCCAAGGAUUCCAGGGGAAGGUUCGUCCGCCCUGGGUAAGUCGGGACCUAAGGCGAGGCCGAAAGGCGUAGCGGAUGGAAAGCAGGCGAAAGAUUCCUGCACCCGUAUAUGGAGCGAAGGAGUGACGGAGACGGAUAGUGUGACCCUCUUAAUGGAUUGAGGGCGAAGCGAAGCGGCUGGUUACCAGGCAAAUCCGGUAACUGAAAGGCUAGAGCGUGACAGGCAAGCGAAAUCUUAGGAAAGUAGCGAAGCACAUGAUGACGGCUUCCAGGAAAAGCUUCUGGCAAUGCAUAUGCGGCCCGUACCAAAACCGACACAGGUGGGCAGGGAGAGAAUCCCGAGGUGAGCGAGAGAACUGUUGCCAAGGAACUCGGCAAAAUGACUCCGUAAGUUAGCGAGAAGGAGUGCUUAAGCAAUUAAGCCGCAGUGAAGAGGCCCAAGCGACUGUUUAACUAAAACACAGCUCUCUGCGAAGUCGCAAGACGAAGUAUAGGGGGUGACACCUGCCCGGUGCUGGAAGGUUAAGAGGAUCUGUUAAGAGCGAUCUGAAGCAGUGAUCCGAAGCCCCAGUGAACGGCGGCCGUAACUAUAACGGUCCUAAGGUAGCGAAAUUCCUUGUCAGGUAAGUUCUGACCCGCACGAAAGGUGUAACGAUUUGGGCGCUGUCUCGGCAGCAGACUCGGUGAAAUCUUAGUACCUGUGAAAAUGCAGGUUACCCGCAACUAGACGGAAAGACCCCAUGGAGCUUUACUGCAGCCUGAUAUUGAAUUCUGGUCAUACAUGUACAGGAUAGGUGGGAGACAAAGAGACGUGCACGCCAGUGUACGAGGAGUCGGCGUUGGGAUACCACUCUUGUGUGACCGGGGUUCUAACCUGGUAUCGAUAACAGGUACGGGGAGAGUGUCAGGUGGGCAGUUUGACUGGGGCGGUCGCCUCCCAAAGAGUAACGGAGGCGCCCAAAGGUACGCUCAGAUUGGAUGGAAACCAAUCGUCGAGUGCAAUUGCAGAAGCGUGCUUGACUGUGAGACUUACAAGUCGAACAGGGACGAAAGUCGGGAAUAGUGAUCCGGCGGUGCCGAAUGGAAGGGCCGUCGCUCAACGGAUAAAAGCUACCCUGGGGAUAACAGGCUGAUCUCGCCCAAGAGUUCACAUCGACGGCGAGGUUUGGCACCUCGAUGUCGGCUCAUCGCAUCCUGGAGCUGGAUUCGGUUCCAAGGGUUGGGCUGUCCGCCCAUUAAAGCGGUACGCGAGCUGGGUUCAGAACGUCGUGAGACAGUUCGGUC
Molecule: ribosomal RNA, 1524 nt
Filed under: human gut metagenome
Description: bacterial LSU rRNA
Rfam family: Bacterial large subunit ribosomal RNA
Source: RNAcentral